RNAcentral lists this ribosomal RNA (330 nucleotides) under uncultured eukaryote. RNAcentral describes it as "partial 18S ribosomal RNA". It matches the Rfam family "Eukaryotic small subunit ribosomal RNA", at positions 1470 to 1796 of the family's 1831-position model. The record is from RNAcentral.
CCCUUAGAUGUUCGGGGCCGCACGCGCGCUACACUGAAGGAAUCAGCACGUCUUUCUCCUUGUCCGAAAGGACUGGGUAACCCGCUGAACCUCCUUCGUGCUAGGGAUUGGGGCUUGUAAUUCUUCCCCAUGAACGAGGAAUUCCCAGUAAGCGCGAGUCAUAAGCUCGCGUUGAUUACGUCCCUGCCCUUUGUACACACCGCCCGUCGCUACUACCGAUUGGAUGGUUUAGUGAGAUCCUCGGAUUGGUCCCUGCGCGGCCUCUGGUCGUGCCGGAGUGCCGAAAAGAAUGUCGAACUUGAUCAUCUAGAGGAAGUAAAAGUCGUAACA